CACGGAGUUAGCCGAUGCUUAUUCGUACGGUACUCUCGUCAGGCCACGCGUGGCCCUUAUUGCUCCCGCACAAAAGAAGUUUAACGCCCAUAGGGCACUGACCUUCACGCGGCAUGGCUGGUUCAGCCUUCCGGCCAUUGACCAAUAUUCCUCACUGCUGCCUCCCGUAGGAGUCUGGACCGUGUCUCAGUUCCAGUGUGGGGGACCUUCCUCUCAGAACCCCUAGACAUCGUCGCCACGGUGGGCCGUUACCCCGCCGUCUAGCUAAUGUCACGCGAGCCUAUCCUCAUCCGACGGAUCUUUAGAUGAAAUCAGAUGCCUGAUUCCAUCACCAUGGGGCAUUAGACGCCGUUUCCAGCGAUUAUUCCCCUGACUGAGGGCAAGUUGCUCACGCGUUACGCACCCUUGCGCCGGUCGCCAUCAGAGAGUAUUGCUACUCUCCAUGCUGCCCCUCGACUUGCAUGUGUUAAGCCUGCCGCU
RNAcentral lists this ribosomal RNA (480 nucleotides) under uncultured Bacteroidales bacterium. RNAcentral describes it as "partial 16S ribosomal RNA". The record is from RNAcentral. Lineage: Bacteria; Pseudomonadati; Bacteroidota; Bacteroidia; Bacteroidales.